This 344-nucleotide ribosomal RNA is filed under the name Klebsiella pneumoniae. Its description in RNAcentral is "bacterial SSU rRNA". It matches the Rfam family "Bacterial small subunit ribosomal RNA", at positions 1199 to 1533 of the family's 1533-position model. Lineage: Bacteria; Pseudomonadati; Pseudomonadota; Gammaproteobacteria; Enterobacterales; Enterobacteriaceae. The record is from RNAcentral.
CCCUUACGACCAGGGCUACACACGUGCUACAAUGGCAUAUACAAAGAGAAGCGACCUCGCGAGAGCAAGCGGACCUCAUAAAGUAUGUCGUAGUCCGGAUUGGAGUCUGCAACUCGACUCCAUGAAGUCGGAAUCGCUAGUAAUCGUAGAUCAGAAUGCUACGGUGAAUACGUUCCCGGGCCUUGUACACACCGCCCGUCACACCAUGGGAGUGGGUUGCAAAAGAAGUAGGUAGCUUAACCUUCGGGAGGGCGCUUACCACUUUGUGAUUCAUGACUGGGUGAAGUCGUAACAAGGUAACCGUAGGGGAACCUGCGGUUGGAUCACCUCCUUACCUUAAAGAA